Bos taurus (domestic cattle) is the source of this 5148-nucleotide long non-coding RNA. NCBI's taxonomy places the organism in Eukaryota, Metazoa, Chordata, Mammalia, Artiodactyla, Bovidae. The record is from Ensembl.
UCUGGAGUCAAUAUGUUAGGAUAUGCAUAUUUCAUUUGUGCUUUGCAGUCUUUGAAUUGUUUGGGAGAAUCUGACAUAUUAAACUUAUGAUUUUAAUUAAAAUACUUAGGGUUUAAUGACUUAAGUUUGUAAUUACUGUUCAAAUAUUUGAAAAAAAAUCUAAUGUAUUAAAUCUGAAAAUUUAGACCUCGUAAGGAUUAUUUAGCUGCUCAGUGAAAUUUUAAGGGUUAAAUUCGGAAAUCUCACUGGCUGGCAUUUAAAGGAUCAACAGAAAAGCAGUAUUUCUUUUUACAUUAAUGCAAACCUGUUAAGAUUUACAAGUGAAAUGAGAUUUGUAAAUUAAACUUAGAGGUUUUAAAAUGGUGUUUGGAAAAGUACAACUGGGUAUGGAUAUACUGGGUCUCUCAUGAAGCUGGAGUCAGUGUUAAUAUUCUGGUACCUGGGCACACACAAACAGAAGCUCAGGCUUUGAAAAUCACAAGUCAAGUGAUAUUUGUGGAACAGGUGUGGUGUUGUGGUCUCAGAGGGGACAAGAAAACAAGACUAUUUGUGUAAAACUAGAAGAAGGAAAGGGACAUAGCAGGCACGAUGAAUCCAUCCUUAAGUUUGAAUGAAAAGGCCAAAGGGAGCCCACACAUAUAUUGUGUUGUGGGAGCCUCCACUGCACCAUCACUGGGAUGAAUCCAAGGGGCCUUUUUCUGCUGUGAUUCAGAUACUAGAAUUGAGAGCAUGUGGCAUACAUUUUAGCAACGAGGCAAGUUAUGAAUUAUUUUGGAAGAACUAGCUGAAGGAACAAGAUGACAGUUGCUGGUGGGGUUUAGCAGAAAUACCCUCAAGCAAGCCAAGGAGAAAGACUCUUUAGAUAUUAUUUAAAAGUGCGAUAGCGACAACAGGGUUUAAGGAGAGGCUGGCUCCUGGGUUAUAAGGCAGGUGAGCUUGUCUUGCGGGAAGGGGAGAGGUGAAUCCAGACGUGACGAGAUGCCUGAGGCCUGGGUUGGUUUCCCUGGCCCAGAGCCACCAGCCAUAAUAGGAACCUGGGAGCCCUGCAGACAUGAGGUGUCACAUUGAAAUGCUCAGGUGGGGCAAACAGGGACAUAAGAGCAUCGAUUUGAAAUAACCAACGCACAAACAAAACACACGAGUCUCAAGUUAAAAAUAACAGGCAGGUGAGGAUCAAAAAGGCAAAGAGAUCAGCGUCAAGUGAAACAUACUCUCCCGGCAUUUUAAAACACACAUAAGAAUCCACAAAAUAUGAGCAUGUCAUUUAAGCAUGGAAAAAUGAGUAAGAGGGAGCACAAAGGAAAGAAAGAAAAUUAAGCUGUAAGGAGGAAAAAGAGGCAAGUAAUAAUGGGAAACAUAAAUGGGGAUUGGGGAUAAUGAUCUGCUGGCAAAAGAAGAAAUACCCGUUUUAAAACAAUAAAGGUUUUUCAGGUGGAAUGAGGUUAACAGUUGAAAUGAAGGCAGCAGUCAAAAGAAGGUCAUGAAUUAAGUGGACUAGACUGAGCCAGUUGUUUCCUUGCAAGUCCAGGUCUGAGCAAAGGAAAAACAGUGGGGAAAAAUCAUUUGGUUAAAAAAUAAUAAUCAAGGAUAGGCAAAAGAGUCUGGUCAGCACUGUGUAGAUAGGAAGAAAGCAGGCCACAGGUAAAUGUGGGGAAGUGAUGGAUGAAGGAUAAAGGCAGUGGAGCUGUAUCUUCUUACAUCAGCAGAUGUCAACCCUGGCUGCACUCUGGAAUUACCUGGGCAGUUCAAAAACAUACCUAUGCCCCUCUUGAGACAAGUGAGCUGGCAUGUCUGGGGGCUGGGGCCCAAGCACAACAUUUCUUCUGCUCCAGUGAGCAGCCAGGGUGGAGACCCACUGCUUUGCCCAUCCAGAGUAACAGUGUGAGGUCCCCUGUGUUGAGGUUAGCAGGCCCAAACAGGCACUUGCACCUGAAGCUCUCCAAUAACUGUGGUCAAAGUCAUUUUCUUAUUUUAACUUGGCAGAUAAGUUACUUGAUUUUCCAUUUGACACUAAGAGCUUUAAAAUUCAGAAAGGAGAAAGUUUUCUCACUUAAUUAUUGUAAAUAUUUGUAACCAUCUCUAAAUAGAAAUCCAAUGUAGUAGUGCUCUUCACACUGAUAUCAAUUCACCUAGCCACAAAAUAAAAACUAGCUACACUGAGAAAUGAAAUGUCUUAUUUAGAUCAUAAAAUAUCUGUGGAUUCUUUUUCUAAAGUAAAUUAUAGUUGAUUUACAAUGUUGUUUUAGUGUCUGGUGUACAGCAAAGUGAUUUCAUUUUAUAGAUAUAUAUAUAUAGUAAAAUGAAGUCGCUCAGUUGUGUCUGACUCUUUGCGACCCCACAGAUUGCAGCUUACCGGGCUCCUCCAUCCAUGGGAUUUUCCAGGCAAGAGUACUGGAGUGGGUUGCCAUUUCCUUCUCCAGAGGAUCUUCCCGAGCCAGGGAUCGAACCCAGAUCUCCCACAUUGUAGGCAGAUGCUUUACUGUCUGAGCCGCCUGGGAAGUCAUAUAUAUAUUCAUAUAUAUAUAUAUAUAUAUAUAUAUAUAUAUAUAUAUAUAUAAAAUUACAUAUGUAUGUACUAUAUAUUUUUAUAUAUGUAAUAUAUAUAUAUACAUAUUUCUUCCAUUACAGUUUAUUACAUGAAAUUGAACAGUUCCCUGUGCCAUACAGUAGGACUUUGUUGUUUAUCUAUUUUGUAUAUAGUGGUGUGCAUCUGCUAAUCUCAAACUCCUCAUUUAUCCGUCCCCUACCCUCUACACCGUUGGCAACCAUAAGUUGGUUCUCUAUGUCUGUGAGUCUGUUUCUGUUUUGUAAAGAAGUUCAUCUGUGUCACAUUUCCCAUACCACACGUAAGUGAUAUCAUAUGGCAUUUGUCUUUCGCUCUCUGACUGACUUCAUUUGGUAUGACAAUCUCUAGGUCCACCCAUGAUGAUGCAAAUGGCAUUAUUUCAUUCUUUUUACAGCUGAGUAAUAUUCCAUUGCAUAUACGUACCACAUCUUUAUCCAUUCACCUGUCAAUGGACACGUAGGUUGCUCCCUUGUUGUGGCUAUUGUCAAUAGUGCUACAACAAACGUUGGGAUUGUAGAUGUAUCUUUCUGAAUUAGGAUUUUCUCUGGAUAUAUGCCCAGGAGAGGGAUUGCUGGAUCAUACAGCAACUCUAGUUUUAGUUUUUAAGAUACCUAGAUUAUUUUUCUUUCAUUUCUGCCUUACAUCAGUGGUUCUCAACUAGGGGCAGUUUUGUCCCCUCAGAGGACACUGGGCAAUGUCUCAGACAUUUUUUGAUUGUCAUAACUGGGGACAUGCUACUGGCAACUAGUGACGAGAGUCCAGGGAUGCUGCUAACAGCUUAAAAUGCACAGGACAGCGCUGGCAGCCUCAAAGAACAAUUCAGCUCAAAAUAUCAACGGUGCCAAGGCUGAGAAACCCUGCUCCAAACAAUAAAGUUAAUGUUUCCACCAAUAAUAACUAAUAUACACUGCCUUCCAAUCUCAACACAAAUGAAACAAUUUUCAACAUGCACAAAUUAUAUGCCAAAAUAAAGACAAACAAGAAAACCUCCCACAGAACAUUAAACCACUAAUAAAAUCAUUUUGUGGGUUUACCACACAGUUAAAGAUGGAGGACUAGAGAAUCAGUAUGCUGAAAUGAAAACUGGGUUUCAAAUUGAAUUUGACUGUUGGAGUUUACAUUCAAACUAGCUGAAAGUCCUUUAAAUGAAGACUUCUAAACAGCACACUUUAUUAUCAAUAUUUAACAAAUGGUGCCUGAAAUAAUAUAUCCACAUUGAACAUUACAUUUUAAACUCCUCACAUCAUAUAUUUGUAGAAAAAAAUGAAGUUUUUUAAAGCCAUACACUUAUAUUUAUUUCUACCAGACCACUUAGUAAAUGUACUCAUUUUAUAGAAAUAAAAGUGAAUCUGAGAUAGUAAGAUGAUUUUCAGGACUGCAAAGCAAGUAGAUAUUGAGAAGUAAUACGACUCCAAAUAUGGACAGUGGGUGUGGCUAGAGGUGAAGAAAAAGUCUUACCUGGCUUGAAGACUAAUCAAGCCAGGUAACUAAUCAGUUAUCUCCAGUCCCUGAUCUGUGGUAACAAUAAUUCUAAAAUGUGAAACAAAGACUAUUUUAGAGGAAGAUUUACAAAUUAUUAAGACUAUUUGUAGUAUGUCAGAAAACACUGAAACACGACUGGGUGUUCUAAAACAAGCAAUUUAAAUAAUUGAUGAAAUCAAGUACUUGGUACACGUGUUCAUGCUCAGUAGAGUCCAACUCUUUGUGACCCCGUGGACUGUAGCCAGCCAGGCUCCUCUGUCCAUGGGAUUCCGGGCAAGAAUACUGGAGUGGGUUGCCAUUUCCUCCUCCAGGGGAUCUUCCCAACCCAGAUAUCAAACCCAAGUCUCCUGCAGCUCCUGCAUUGGCAGGCAAUUACUGUGCUACCUGGGAAGCCCCGAGUACCUGACAGUUAUUCAUUAUUGAGGGUCUAUAAAUGGGAAAUACCAAUCCAUUGGUUGUCAAACUUGGCCCCACAGUCUACUCUGAUCAACUGAAGAUUGGAGGUGCUUUUUUUAAAAUGAUGCCUGGGCUCUUCCCAAGAACAAAUGAACCAGAAUCUCCAGAAGUGAAGAUUCUCCUGACCUUGGGCAUGAUAUUGUACAGCAUAUCUCAAACUUCAACGUGUAUAUAGAUUAUCUAAGGAUCUUACCACAAUGCAAUUCUGAUUAAGUGAGUCUGGAUGUGCCUGAGGUUUUGCAUUUCUUGAUACUAAUAGUUCUGGUCUAAGGGCCACACUCUGGAUACAGAAGUGCAGAAAGUUUUCUGGAUUCUAAUUUGCAGCCAGCAUUGAGAACCAUCAGUGGUUGAGCCCCUAGCUUUGGGCUGGGUGCUAUGUGGGCAUAGAGAUGAAACAGAAAUUUUUUUUAAAAAGCGUUCCUCAAGUAAGGAAUUACUCCAUCCUAAAUUAGAGCUUUCACUGUUAUGCAAUCCACAUACCUUUAUCUUAGCUUCCAGUGUGGGCUAAAACAACCCAGUUACUCCUUUGGAAGGGCAGCCAUUCCAUGUUGAUUUUAUAUCAACACAGGCAACAAUCCUCAGACUUAGCAUUUGCUGUUUUCUGUUCCAGAAUGCUCUGAUUUCAGCAGAGUUCUACAUGGUAG